Molecule: ribosomal RNA, 377 nt
Filed under: Trachelipus sp.
Lineage: Eukaryota; Metazoa; Arthropoda; Malacostraca; Isopoda; Trachelipodidae
Description: partial small subunit ribosomal RNA
Rfam family: Eukaryotic small subunit ribosomal RNA
Source: RNAcentral
UGCUCCGAUAGCGUAUGUAAAUGUUGUUGCAGUUAAAACGCUCGUAGUCGAUAUUUGACUGCAUUCGUCGGCGCAUCCUCCGAAAGGACGGAAGCGUGACGGGCAGUUUUUGACAGGUGGUGGCGGGGGUUAAUUCUCUCGUUGUUGCCUGACCUUUCACUUGGAUUAAAAUGGCAAGUUCAAAUUAGGCGUUUCGCCUGAACAAUUUAGCCUGGAAUGAUGGAACACGACUAUUGUCAAGUUCGUCGGUUUAUUUGAUUUUAGUAAUGAGAAAUAGGGACAGUUGGGGCGAUUUCUAUUUGACAGUCAGAGGUGAAAUUCUAUAACCUGUCAAGGAGAAACUUCUGCGAAAGCAUCUCGCAUGGAUGUUUUCAUUG